UGGGGAAUUUUGCACAAUGGGGGAAACCCUGAUGCAGCGACGCCGCGUGAUUUAGAAGGCCUUCGGGUUGUAAAAAUCUUUUCUAUGGGAAGAAAAUGACAGUACCAUAGGAAUAAGGACCGGCUAAUUACGUGCCAGCAGCCGCGGUAAUACGUAAGGUCCGAGCGUUGUCCGGAAUCAUUGGGCGUAAAGGGUACGUAGGCGGGUAAGCAAGUUAGAAGUGAAAUCCUAUAGCUCAACUAUAGUAAGCUUUUAAAACUGCUCAUCUUGAGGUAUGGAAGAGAAAGUGGAAUUCCUAGUGUAGCGGUGAGAUGCGCAGAUAUUAGGAGGAAUACCGGUGGCGAAGGCGACUUUCUGGCCAUAACCUAACGCUGAAGUACGAAAGCGUAGGUAGCAAACAGG
This 402-nucleotide ribosomal RNA is filed under the name bacterium. RNAcentral describes it as "partial 16S ribosomal RNA". It matches the Rfam family "Bacterial small subunit ribosomal RNA", at positions 355 to 776 of the family's 1533-position model. The record is from RNAcentral.